GGGGAUGUAGCUCAGUGGUAGAGCGCUCGCUUCGCAUGUGAGAGGCCUCGGGUUCAAUACCCGACAUCUCCA
RNAcentral lists this transfer RNA (72 nucleotides) under Saccoglossus kowalevskii. RNAcentral's name for it is "tRNA-Ala". It matches the Rfam family "tRNA". From Rfam's summary of the family: Transfer RNA (tRNA) molecules are approximately 80 nucleotides in length. Their secondary structure includes four short double-helical elements and three loops (D, anti-codon, and T loops). Lineage: Eukaryota; Metazoa; Hemichordata; Enteropneusta; Harrimaniidae. The record is from RNAcentral.